GCUAAAUCAGGCUGCUCAUGGGACUGCUAUGGUAGCUCAGUUCAGAGCAUGCCACGUAUGCCUGGCUGUGCCACUGAGGAUGUUAGCUUUCAUUUGAGUUCACCAGGAUGUUUCAAUUUAUUCUGGAAGACAGGCUCGGCUUCUCCUGUGGGCCUCUGCUGCUUGACAGAGGGGUUGAUUCAGAGGAGAUCGGUGCGACUGUGCAACAUGCAUACUCAAGUAUGUAAAUAUGUGUUUACUGUUAUGGUUUCUGCACAGCGGUUUGAAAGGGGCUCUGCUCCCCCACACUGGAGGAAUGGCAGAUGAAAUUGAUGGACUACAUGGAAUUGGCGGAAAUGACUGGUAGAAUCCGUGACCAGGGAGAAGAGUCGGUGGAAGAAGAUUGGAAGAAAUUUAAAGACUAUUUACAGAAAUAUUGCAAAAUUAAUGAAUGUUAGAAUGAUGUUGGAUUGAAGUUAAGUGGUUUCUAGCUGUACAGGUACAAAAGAAUAUGGAAAAUUGGUUUUUAAUAUGUAAAAAUUUAAUGUUAUAAUAUAUCAAGAUUAAAGAUUAGGAUUAAAAAGGAGGGAAAGGAAUUGUUGGAUUAACAAAUUGAAUUGGAAUACAAAAAGAGGAGGUAUGAGGAGGUCCUGGAAACAAGUAAACGUAAAAGAAGUGAUGAAAAGAUGGAAUUGUUUUUAACUGUUUUUUCUUUUUUGUACUUUGUAUUUUUCCUUUUUAUUGUUAUUUUUCUUAUUAAUGUGAUUUUUCUUCUUUUGAAACUUUAAUAAAUAUUAUUUAAAAAAAAAGAAAAAAAGAAAGGGGCUCUGCUCCUGAUCCAUGACGGCAGGCCCAAAGGUGAGUUGGCCAGCUGCCGUGAACUAAAUUGGGGGGCUGAGACAAAAGACCAUGAAAUGACUCAGUUGCUGAAUGCCGAUGACAAAAAUAACCAGGAUCACUACCCAAUUUGGGGAAGGAAUUAAAGCAAAACAUGCUUGCAGACCUGCACUUUAUUUAGCUCAUAGAUAUAUCCUUAACAGUGGGUAGUUGGGCUGAAGAAUAAAAAGAUGGAUUAUCCUACAUGAAACCAUCGAACUGGGCUUCUUAUCUCAACUUUCUUUUGAUGUUCUGCUGAAGUUUGGUUUUUAUUACUCCUAUGCUACACACUGAGAAGUUGAGAUUGAUGGAAAGCCACUUGUCUGAGAACCUGCCCAGGUGUUUGAAUGGUCUAUGAAGGAGGAGGUAAAGAGGAGAAAUGGGUUUGGGGUGGUGGUUGUUGGGGUGUAUUGCUUCUUAUUCAGCCCAUGUUUCUAUCAUGAAUUUCUGGGUGAAACUGCCUGAAAAGCAGAAACCAAUCCGCUAAACAAAACACAAAUAUCCUUCGACUAUUCGCCCUCUUCUGAAUAUUGCAAAACAGUUCUCCAACCAAACAGUAUUAGGGGGAAAGUGGGCAUAAAGAUUUGCACUUGAGCAAAAUGACAUGGAAAAAUGAAUUAGAUUAGGGGGAAAUGCUUGCAAAUUGUGUAUAAAAAGGGAAAGAAUCAUAAAAAUGUACAUAUUGGGAGAAAUUUGCACUAUAUUCUGAUGAAUUUUCAUGAGGAUUUAAAAAAAGAAGAACUUUGACAUGCUGCAGAACUGAAUGGAGAACAAAAUUUAAAAAUGGAACAAAUGGAAAAUAGGAAGAAUCUGAAUUGGGUUCUCCCUUCCUAGAACAUAAUGAUUGAUAACUCAGCCUUUUGGCCACCAUGGUUUAGCUGAGCUUCCUGCAUUGCAGAGGUUGGACUAGAUGACCCUUGGGGUCCCUUCCAACUCUACAUGUCUAUGAUUCUAUGCUAUAUGGACAAACCACUGCCAGAAGACCAUUUCCUGCAGUUCCAACAACAGAGAACAAAUUAGGGAACAGAAAGUUCCCCUUGACUUACGUAUCACAGCGUAAAAAAACCAAAAAAAGAAUAUAAAUUCAUGGAUGAACAUUUUGUAUCCUUAAUUCAAUCUCCUAUACUUGGUUUUACUUUUCUUUUUUAACAUUUGCAUUGCUUUGAGACACUUUUGUGGGGAAAGCGACAAAUAAACAGAGUAAGUGAUAGUGAAGAGUUUUUCUGUGACUGCACAGGAAACUCCAGCAUUACAUUCCACUUCUCCCUCCCCUCAAAUUCAAUGCACAGAAACCAUCGCAGAGAUUCCUGUGGUGAGGGAUCCUGGCAAGCCCCCUCUGUGGAUGCUAAUGGUUUCCUAGCAAGUUCAGAAGUGGCUCAUCUUUCACACCUUCACUGCGGACAAAUUCUCAGCUCUUCCAGGAGAUACUCAUCUGACAUGAAAUAAUAUCCCACGUGAAGCUGUUUUCUAGCGAGAAACAGUCCUGAUUUCUCCCUGCCUCCCUUUAUUAUUGCUUCUUAUCUUUUUGCAUUUUUAUUCCUAUAACGCGGGAAGUGCAUUUAAGAAGGGCACCAGGCCCCUGGAAAGGAAAAAAAAACACACCAUGCAAACACAUAGGCCACAAAAUCAUCAAGAAGCAAAACUAUUGUAAGGAGACCAACAACUCAGACAGGUGAGAGAGCAAAAGAGAGAAAGGGCAUGAGGAAGAGGCAAAAGGCCAAAUAAGUUCAAUAAUUCUUCCAAAUAAAAUUGUACUGGACUGGAAUGAGGCGAUUCAUCAUGUGACUGUUCAUGCAAGUCAAAAAAAGGUCUCCCGUGUGACCACAAUUUUUUGUGUUGCAGCAGAGACCUUGUUGACUUUCCGUUUGCAGUUAGCUUCUCCAAGGAAACUACAGUGGUACCUCGGGUUACAGAUGCUUCAGGUUACAGACACUUCAGGUUACAGACUCCACUAACCCAGAAAUAGUAUCUCAGGUUAAGAACUUUGCUUCAGGAUGAGAACAGAAAUCGUGCGGCAGCAGUGGGAGGCCCCAUUAGCUAAAGUGGUACCUCAGGUUGAGAACAGUUUCAGGUUAAGAACGGACCUCCAGAACGAAUUAAGUUCUUAACCUGAGGUGUUGUUGUUUAGUCAUUUAGUCGUGUCCGACACUUCGUGACCCCAUGGACCAGAGCACGCCAGGCACUCCUGUCUUCCACUGCCUCCCGCAAUUUCAUCAAAUUCAUGUUGGUAGCUUCUAAAACACUGUCCAACCAUCUUGUCCUCUGUCAUCCCCUUCUCCUUGUACCCAACAUCAGAGCUUUUCCCAGAGAGUCUCCUCUUCUCAUGAGGUGGCCAAAGUAUAACACACACACAAUGCAUCUAAAUUGUUUUUUUUUUUUUACCAGUCUAGCUGAGUCCCAGGAGGAUUAUAAUUGAAGGUCUGAGCAACAAAUGAUGUUGCAGUAUGAGUCAAUCAAGACGUGUUCUCAAGGUCCAGAGGAGGCAACUGCAACAAGCUAGACUUACUGCAAUUAUCACCUGCCCUAAUGUCCCUCCUGCCUUCUGUGAGUCUGUCACAUUUCCUCCACCUGAAACAUGAAGGUAUGUGCUGUUUUUAAAAUGUUUUCAGUCACCCUUAAAGGUUUUUAGGUGCUCCUAAUUUUAGAUGCUCUUAAUAUUUUUUUUUAAAAGUUUUAAAUAUGUGUAUAAAAGGACCCCUGACCAUUAGGUCCAGUUGUGACUGACUCUGGGGUUACGGCGCUCAUCUCGCUUUAUUAGCCAAGGAAGCCAGUGUACAGCUUCCGGGUCAUGUGGCCAGCAUGACUAAGCCACUUCUGGCGAACCAGAGCAGCACACAGAAACGCUGUUUACCUUCCUGCAGGAGCCUACCUAUUUAUCUACUUGCACCUUGACGUGCUUUCGAACUGCUAGGUUGGCAGGAGCAGGGACUGAGCAACGGGAGCUCACCCCGUCUCGGGGAUUCGAACCGCCGAGCUUCUGAUCGGCAAGUCCUAGGCUCUGUGGUUUAACCCACAGCGCCACCCGUGUCCCAUCAAAUAUGUGUAUAUGUCUAAGUAAUUACCAGCCAGUUGCCAAUCUCCUCUUCUUGGGGAAGGUUCUUGAGCAGAUGGCUGUGGCACUCUUGGAGGAAAUUGUUUUGGUCACACUGUAGGAUGACCUCUGUUGGGAGAGAGAGAAAGGAAACGGCUCCUUGUUGAUUCUCCUUGUCCUCUCAGCAGCUUUUCAUACUAUGAGUCAUGGUAUCCUUCUGGAGUAUCUGCCAAAGUUGAGGAGAGGUGGCACCACUUUGUGGUGGUUCCAGUCCUACUAGGAUGGAUGUUUCCAGAGGGUGAUGCUUGGGGAUUGUUCUUCAGCCCUGUGGAGCCUUCAAUGUGGGGUUCCUCAGGGUCUAAUGUUACUGAACAUGCUGUUUAACUUAUUGUUAUGAUUAAUAGUAGUAGUAUACCACCCUCCAUCUGUAGAUCUCAGGGUGGUUCACAACAUAAAAUUAUAAUAUAAAAAACACAAAAUACGUAAUAAAAAUAAGAACGAAAACAAACCAGUAAUGUCCCCCUCCAACAACACAUUUAAAAGGGCAUCUGAUGUUACUCAGCCAACAGCCUGGUUGAAGAGGAACAUUUUUGCCUUGUGCCUAAAAGUGCAUAAUAUAGGCACCAGCCGAAUCUCCUUGGGGAGAGCAUUCCACAAAUAGGGAGUCACUGCAGAAAAGGCCCAUUCUCAUGUUGUGUCCCUCUGGACCUCUUGUGGAGGGGACACGUGAAAAAAGGGCCUCAGAGGAUGAUCUCAGGACCCGGAUAAGUUCCUAAGGAGACAGGUGGUCCUGAGAUAUUGGAGUCCUGAGUUGUCUACAUAAAACUCCUGAGUGGAGUCAUCUAGUGUUUUGGAGUUACAUUGUCAGCAAUAUGCUGAUGACACACAGUGUAGCACCCUGCUUGUGGUUAACGCUUAGCUGGAAUGAAAUAUUCAACGCAGCAAUAGAGAAAUUAAAAUAAUAAUUUAUUUGUCAGACAAAUAAAUGAGAGACACAGUGGUAUAUGGAUACCAAAGCUCUGCCUACUCCAGCCCUGAUGGCCAGCACUUAUAUUUCCUCAGCCCAGCCCCCUUGCUCCUCCUUUGGCUGCCUCUGUCCAAUCAGCCUGGUUGAAAUUCCUAUUGGCUGUUUGCUAGAACCAAUCAUAAAAGAUACACCCAUUUCCUAUUCCCUUUUAUGGGAGACAAAAAGCUAUAUUUCCUUGUAUCCAUAAAUGGCAGACAAGUAACCAUAUAUCUUACAUUUACCUCGACCAGGCACCUCAAUUACCAGAUAACCUUUGGCCCCUGUUGCCCUAUUCACUGCAAACCAGAUGGCUAAAGCAGAUGGUGCAUGGUUUCUAAUUUUUUUUUAUCUUAAAGAGAUCUUGAGUUCACCUUCUCACCCACCAUAAUAGGAAUCUAACAUAAGAAUCUAACAUUUCUUACUUUCUAAAUCCUUUGCAUAAUCACAUUUAAGCCAAUAUAUUUCAUACAUAACAUAGAUAGAUUUUUAGAAGGAAAGGCCUUUUCAAAUUAAAGGAAUUUAGUAAAAGCUAAGUUCCUAAGUUCUAUAAAGAAACCUUUUUCCCUAACCAGCGGCUGUUUCUUCCAUUUAACCUUUAACCUUAUGGCUCGAGUCUUCUGUUAAACAAUAAAUUUCACUAUUUACCAGUUCUUAAUUGUGUUUUUACAGCUUGAUUGUAUUCUGGUCAGUGUGACCUUUUACUCUCUGGCUCUAAUUUCCUUUUACAACCUUGAAAUACUUUUAUUUAUAGCAGUGGGGCCCCUUGAACAGCUGCCAGAGUAUUCAGCUGGUCUUUCCCUGGCAGAGAAAAAUAUAUUUACAAAUAUAAUUUUUUAAGCUCAAAGCAGAUUUUGAUCAGAUGCCUCAACAGCUCUACUUCUCCUUUACAUCUGCAGGUGAGGCAGUGGAAGUGCUGGACCAGUGUCUUGCCUUGGCAAUGGACUGCAUGAGAGCUAACAAAGUGGUGGGUGGGUGGGUGUGAGAGAGAGCGCGCAUAAGAGACACACUGGGGCUCUGGGGUUUUGAUUUUAAGAGCGGGGAACCCUGUUGCAAAGAAGGGACCUUCUUCUGCAUUCUACAUCAGCUGCCCGGGGAGGUGUUAUUUGGUGCUGAUUAAUACAUAUAUUUGUCAUUGCAAAUAAUGCACUGUACAAAUAUGAUCUUGGAGUUCUGCCAUUAUUUUCAGAACACUCAGCACAGGCAUAAAUGAUCCUUGAGCUGCACAGCCACAGGGGAACAAAAGGCUAACCUUGGCUAAAGAGCUCCAUCUCCUCCUCCAAAAAAAUGCUCCAUCACUAAUUGCAACAGUAGAAAACUGUGUUCCCAUCAUCUGUGUAACUUUCAAGGUUUAUCAGUCAGAAUGUGGCUAUAACUCUUUUCUUUAUCUAUCCUGUGUUUUCCACAUAUCACCCUGAGCAUAUUUCCCAUUGAAUCAUAGAGUUGGAGAGUUGGAAGGGACCAAAGAGUCGAACCCCCUGCAAAGCAGGAAUAAGAACUAAAGAAUCCCUGGCAGAUGGCCACCCAUCACCUGCUGAAAAACCUGAAAUGAAGGAGAGUCUACCACUUCCCAAGGCAGUCUGUUCUACCAUUGAACAUCUCUUACCAUCAGAAAGUUAUUCCUCGUUUAAUCGAAAUCUCAUUCCUUGUCAUUUGAAUCCAUUGGUUUGAGUCCUGCCCUGUGGAGCGGCAGAAAACAAGCUUGCUCCAUCUUCCAUGUGACAGCCCUUCAGAUGUUCAAAUAUGGCUAUUCUAUCACCUUUCAGUCUUCUCUUCUCCAGGCUAAACAUGCCAAGCUCCCUCAACCGUUCCUCAUAAAGCUUGGUUUCCAGAUCCUUCAUCAUCUUGGUCACCUUCCUCUGCACAAAUUCCAGCUUGUCGUCAUACCACUUCCAAGCUUCCAUUGUUUCAGGUUUUCAUUAGGAGGUUUCGGGAAGCUAUUCACUAUGGGUUGAUUACAAUAUUACUUCAAUACAAUAUUAGAAUCCCAGAAAAUGACAGGCUCCAUCCUGCUCCUUCUUGUGUGUCAGGCAAAUGGUCCAACCUUCUAUUUGGGAAAGGCACUGCCUGGAACCUUGAGGAGCCACAGACACUCAGUAUAGACAACACUGAGGCUGCAUUCACAUGGCAGUUUAUUCCUUUUCCCUGAGGUUUCCCUAACUGUUAGCUCAAAUAUAGUGUAGAAAUGUUAAUAUGACAUAAAAGUCCCCUUCAGAAAUCUAACAAAACAUAGUCCAAGGAUGGCACUCAUUUCCAUGUUAAUUGCUUCCAGAAAAAAAGAUGUGUUUGCAACCCCAUUAACCCAGCAAAUCAUGGGAGUAAAGUGAUAAAAAAAAAAAUUAGACAGAAUACAAGGAUGCAGUUCUUCUAUCUGCCAUUUUCAUGGGUGAAACAUGAGGGACGAGAAGCACAGGUGCGCGGAAAGGAUGGGGGAAUAUUGCCCAAUGACGUCCUUUGUUGUGCCACACCACGCCCACUGGUGGGAAUGAAAUUUAAGGCAGCAUGCUGGUGUGUAUCACUGGAAAAGCCACAGAUCACUAACGCAACAGGAACUGCAGCACGAAGGGAACAUUAGAUAACAGAACAGAGGCACUAGCGUUAAUCAGAAAAAAAUAACACAAUGCUUCCCACCUCUGAAUGCACCCUGAGUAAGUUGAGUAAGUUGAGCCAAUGUGUUGAUCCAGUACAAGGGAGAAUUCUGUAAAAUUCCCCUCUGAAAUCUUCCACAUUUAAUAGAUGGGUAGAAGAGAUUUCCCCCCAUUUCUGGGAAUAGACUCCUGUGAUGAAAAGUGUUGAAAAGUCUUAAACGAAUAUCUAAUUUGUGUGAGUAAUGUCCUGUGCUUAGCAAUACAAAGAAAAGCUUUAUAUAUUGAUGGGGUUUAGGGGACAAAAAACCAAUUCACUGAGUAUCUGUCUUUCACUUACUACUAUCAUUUAUUAGGAGAGAAUUUUGAGCACAAUGAAAACAGGGAGUAAUUUAGAGGGGAACGAAAAAGCACCUCCAAUAAGGAUAUUAAACGAAAGCCAUAGAUUUCAAUCUCUGAUUCUUUAAUAUCCUCUUUUGUCAGGCUUACAGAUACUUUUAAGAAAAAUAACAUUGUAUAGGACAUUUCAAAUUAGACCAGCUAUUCAGGAGCUCAGGAGCUGCAAAGAGAUAUGGCUCUAGGUGAACUUACCACCAGGAAUGCACCGAUGGGACUUGGGGAGAUCGUUGCUCCUUCUCCAAGGCUUCCUUAAAUUCACCUUGCUCAAGGAAGGACUGUAGCUCAGUGCUGUCCCUGGGAUGCAAGAGGACCCAGGUAUAAUCCCUCGCAUCUCCAGGUAGGGCUGGAAAUUUCUCCUACUGUAUCUGAGAGACUGUUUAUCUGUUGUGCUCUUGCAGUUUCAACAGGAGCUAGUACUGGGUUGACUGUGGGAACAUAGCUCAUGCCUUGCGUGCAGCUGCUCCCAGGUUCAAUCCCUGGCAUCUCCAACUAGGACUGGCCCUGGUCUGAAAUCCUGGAGAGCUGCUGCCGCUCACUGUAAGGUAGUACAGUGGUACCUUGGUUCUCAAAUUCAAUCCGUUCCGGAAGUCCAUUCCAAAACCAAGGCUCGCUUUCCCAUAGAAACUAAUGCAAAAUGGGUUAAUCCAUUCCAGACUUUUAAAAACAGCCCCUAUAACAGCAAUUUAACAUGAAUUUUGCUAUCUAACGAGACCACUGAUCCAUAAAAUGAAAGCAAUAAACAAUGUGCUGCAGUCACACGACCAAUCCAUCAGUAGCUGAACACAGUCACAAAAACAAAACAAAAAAGUUGCAAAAACAAAACUGCAAAAUAGAUGGCAAAAACAGACAGACCUCAGCGUAACACUCAAAAUGGAAGUGUGGUACUCAAAUCAGAAGCGUAACACUCAAAACGAAGCAUGUUCAGCUUCUGGAAAAAGUUCGCAACACCUGGAACACUUACUUCCGGGUUUGCAGCUCUAUAGUAAGUCUCACCUAGACCACUUCCCAUUCCUACACUUCUAUGAUCAUUAGCCUUAAAAGAAUGUGGGUCAAAGCAUCAUUGCAUCCCUUCUAGCACCGUAGCCUUUCUUUCCCCCAAAGCCAUGAGAGCUAGGAGCAUGAUCAUUUUAAAUCUGAGACAUAAGCAAGUAUUUGGUGUGGCAAAGUUUGUAGUGCAUAUAUACUUGCAACAUGGUCUUUGAGCUAUAGCUCCUACCCAAACAAUAACUUAUUGCAAGGAUAUUUGCUCCACAAAUAUUUGCUGCACCAAAUACUCUGCAAAGGUCCCUAAUUCAAUCCCUGCCAUAUCCUGGUAAGCCUGGGAAACUCUCCUGCCUGAAACACUGGGGAGCUGUUUUCACUAAGUGUGGCCAGUAUUAGACCAAUGAUCUAGUUUGGUGUCAUCAGCUUCCUCCCUGCCUACGGCAGCCGAGUGCUCCUGUCUAGCUUGGAGGCUUCCCAUAGGCAUCUGGUUGGCUGAAUUUUUGAGCCAUUGGCCUGUUCCAUCAAGCUCAUCUUAUGUUCUUACCAAGUGUGGAUGGGGCCACUGAUGCAAUUCUUCCUGUGAACUAAAGAAACUACUACCUGGUAGCUCCAGUCUAUGGGGUGUUGCCCUUCUUGCAGUAGUCUUGCUGGCUAGUUAUAGUAGCAACAAUGGCUGGUGCCUAUUGGGACCGGUAGGGCAGAAGGCAGGGAGACCAAGGGGCAGAUGGAGGGAGUGCCAACAGCAGGCAGUGCCAACAUAUUCUGGUUUUGUCCCCAUCCGUAUCCUUGCUGACAUCUACAAGGCAAUUGCACUGUAAUCUACAUAUUAAUCCAACAAGUGAAGAUCGGUUUGCUUAAAAAUGAGAAACAAAUUAAUUCCAUUAACAGCUGUAGUCUGUUCCCUGAGCUCCAUAGAAACCACUUCUUUGAGUGCCGCCCUUGCCAGAAUUAAAGUGGGUGGCAAUUAGAGAGAGGUUUCGGAUUCCAGCAUCAUUAGACGUCAAGAAUUCAUGCUUCUGAGCAGGGUAAUGUGAAUACCAUAGCCAUCUCUACUGGGGAAGUUUCAGCUCUUCAGCCAGUGGUGAGUGGUAGCUAUUGAGGCUGGUGGGGUAGAAAGCAGGGAGGGCAACAGCAGGUGGCGCCAGAGGCAAUGACAGGUAGAACCAACUCAUUCUAGUUUCUUCCUCCCUGCUGAAUUCCACUGAGACUUGAAGAGGAAGAGGAGACUCACAGGAAGUUUCACCCCUUGGACUGGUUGCAAAUAAGAAAGCUGGCAAGAUGGACGCUGGCUGGGGGCUGGUGGGCGCCGACUGAGGCUGGUGGGGCAGAACCCUACUUGACCUCAUGAACCAGCCUCCACUGUCUUCAGCUCCUCCUCUAUGUCAAACAUGGAAUCCCAAAAUUCUCUGUGCUGUUCGUCAGCAGUAAAAUAGGGGCGGGGAUAGAGAAUUCCAUUGAAAGUUAACUUGGUGGGGAGGUAGAAUUCUCCAACCGUUGGGGCAAAGUCAAGGGGGAAACGAAAUUCUCAGAUAAUCCCUUGCAACAUUAUCUUCUGAGAGCUUACCCUAAUUGCACCACCUCUGAAACAAUCACAAUGCACUUUUUUCCAUGCGAAAAUGUCUAUUUAGUCUAAUAAACCGCUCUGGCUAAAGGACAGCUAGCGACGCCACUGCCGACAUAGCACCAGAAUCAAUAAAUACACUGUAUUUGUGCUGCUAUGCAAAACACAUCUCCCCGUAAACAUAUUUUGCAAGGGAGGUGAACUGAUGGGGAAAGCCGCAAGAUGGAAAGCAGACUUCCAACUUGUGGUACUUGUACUUAUGAAGUCAACUUUUCAUUCUCAUUGUGCAAAAUUCUAUUUGGGCAGAAAGCCCUAAGGAGUUGUGACUGGUGGGUCUCAGUCAUUUUCAGCCUUCUCAAGUGGACACAGUGGAGGGUAGAAAGUUUUGAGAACCCCAUCUAUUAAGUGAUGCUGUUGUUUAGUUGAUGUUCAACUUAUCUCCAUCCCUUUCCUGCUUUUGGGAUUACAAGGGAGAGGAAAUAUCUAUGUCCAGGAAAAAGUUGACAAUCAAAGUUUACUUCCCUGCCAUUAGUAAGGCAGUGUAUUCUAUUCAAACACAGCACAUCACCCACCUGUGAUACAGUGAAGCAGACAGAAAGACGUGUUCAUUAUUCUUCCUUUGCAAGUUGGGUAUUAUACAAAACAAUCCCCUCGAUGGAGAUAAAGCAGAUUCGAGUGUUGAUCUUACUAACCUUCCAAGUCAGUUGAGCGGCCUAACCUAUUAUCAUCUCAGCAUGAAUUCAGCGGCAAAGACAUCACUUGGCAUCAAGCAGAAACAAGAUGUGAACCCGACCAGGAAUUCCAUAUGAGGAGCCUUGCUUUCAUUUUCUUGCAUUAAGGCACAAGGCAGCUGCACUUCUGCAAGGAAAAUGGGAAGAAGGGGCUUAUUGGGGGUUGCCUUUCAGAUAUUUUCCACAUUGUUUGGGUUUGCUCAUGCAUAUUAUGUAUUAAUAGUUGUCGCACACAACACGGGGAGCAAAUUACUGUUACUGAGGAGGAGCUGCCAUCUGUACCCAGAUUAUGCUGGAGAGAAGGAUGGUCUUAUGGGAAGGAUACUCAGUGGGCCAGAUUGCUCAUUGGAGCUUAAGAUUUCAAACGUGCAAAGAGCAGGGAGGGCAGUAGCAAGUGGCCAGUCUGUUUGAUGUGCAGAUAUGUACCACGACCCUUGAUUCUAGCUUAGAAAAAGCAUUAAGGGGCGUUCAAGAUAACCCAUCCCACUGAAAGAAUGCAAACUGUCAAAACUAUGCAUAGCAUGGAGGUAGCAGAUAGAGAGAGGCUUUUCUCCCUCUUUCAUAACUCAGAGACAUCCAAUGAAGGAUUCAGGACAGACCCCCCAAAAAAGCACAUCUUCAGUUUAUAGUUAAACUGUGGAACUUACUUUUUUGCAUUACAAGCAGAUUGGUAGUGGGCCCUGCGUGUACAUAGUUUUUAUUAUUAAUUAUGAUGAUGAUGAUGAUGAUGAUGAUGAUGAUGAUGUUGUUGUUGUGCAUUUUGUGUUUUUAUAUUGUAAACCAUCAUGUGAUCUUUGAUUGAAGAAUGGUAUCUAAAUUUAAUAAACAAGAAGAAGUAGUGCUGGGCAGGGAGGAAAUGGCUGCUACUGCAGUCACUACCUGCUAGGUGAGUUGGAAGAACCUAUGUAAGACCCCCGUUGUCAAAAGUGGGGACCUUUUUCAUUGCUUGCAAACAGGACUGUGAAAUUGGCAUGGGUAUUCCUACAUUUGCUCAGCCAUAUUGAAAAGGAACAACUUCUUGCCUUAGCUCUUUGAAAUCUGCUGCUGAAUGGUUGAUAUCCCCGCCUCCCCUUGCUCAUGUGUGUGCAGAUAUCAGUGGCAUAGCGUGGGUUGCCAGUGCCCGGGGCCUCACAGGUUGAGUAGGAGGGAGACAGGCAGAGUACUCAUAUGCAUUGAACUGCCUAACAGUGUCCACAUCACCCAGGAUAUCACAUCCACAAAGAUAAGAAAAGAAGAGUUUCGUUGUCUGGAGAGGUCACUUCCUGGUUCACACAGAGAAGCUGUUUUCAAUGGAACCCAGUGAUGGAAGUGCACAGCUGUACUGAGGAAGCACCAGGUGCUGAAAUGUUGUGCUCCUAACAAUUUUGUACCUAGCGCAACCACCCCUGUGCCCCCCACCAUGCUAUGCCACUGGUAGAUAUAGGUAAAAUCUCCAGUGGAACAAGAAAUUCUAAGGUUCUAUUUCACCCUCUCUUAUAACAUUGAAGUAGAGGCUUAAAUCCAUUAAAAAAUUCCCAACUGAAAGGGCACUAAAGUGUGUGUGUGUGUGUGUGUGUGUGUGUGUGUGUGUGUAUUCUGACCUGUUAAUAAAAGACUAAAAGGUGCACAUUAAUAUAAAUAUUUAUAUUCUGCUGUGCCAUAUUAGCACUUACGGAUAAUCUAUCUCCCCUGCUAAUGGUUCUGAGUAAAAUGUGCAGUCAGUGCGGCUGACAUUUUGAGGAGUUAUUGCUGUAUUGCUUCAUCUUAGUCAUCCCCACAGCCCCUUUCUUAGUGAUUGAUAUGAGAGAGAGCGUACUGACUAAAAUAUCUAUAUUUCUUUCCCCAUAUGUGCUUCUAUAGCCUGGUGAAAGCUUUGGCUUAGCUACGAACUUUGCAGCCCAUUAAAAUCAGCAGGAGAAGACCUGGCAGGCAGGAGACAAUGACAUUCCAACUCACAAUGGAGCUGAGGUGAAAUUCAGGAGCCACGAAACUGUUAGAGCUCAGGGGGCAUUAUUGUGUGGGGAGGUGUUGUGCUGCUAUGUGUGCACUCUGUCUGGGGCUGUGUGGGAAGGAAACGGUCAACUGCCAGGAGGGAUGUUGCAGAAUUCUGACAAAAACAGAAAUGGGAGCAAGGAUGGCUAGUGUUUGCUUACAUUUGGAAUGGAAAGCAAUCUGGGAAACACAUCCACAAAGAUAUGCAGCUGGUUAUACAAUGAACGCUUGGGUUGCAAACGUGAUCCGUGUGGGAUGCACGUUCACAACCCGCAGCAGAAUGUCUGUGCUCGAGCGGGUUGCAAUUCAGUGCUUCUGCGCAUGCAUGACCCCCGAAACCCAGAAGUAACCCGUUCCGGUACUUCCAGGUUUCGGUGGGUCUGUAACCCAAAAAAACACAACCUGAAGCAUCUGUAACCCGAGAUAUGACUGUAUCCCCAUCCCAUUUGCACUGUGUUUCCUUUGUGCUGAAAUGAAUGGGGUGGAAUAAUGUAAUGACAACAUAAUUUAGGGAAUUUAGGGAAUGAAAAGUUAAGUGAUUUCUCCACAGCAGGCAGAAAACAACUUUGUUCUUGGUGGAAGAAGAAAUGCAGCAGAAAGGAGACAGUGCGGAAUGCAACAAAUACAGGGUGGGAUAGAAAAUAGUGCCUUCUUAUAUCCCUAGAUGCCAAUAAGGAUGGAAGGGUCAAUCUAUGUCUAGUCUGUGUCACUUUCAGAUAUGUUCAUUCAUAUGUCCACUCCCUUUCUUUCUGCACUAAAUCUACACUUGUAUACACACACACACACACAUAUAUACUGUAUAUAUACUGACUGUCUGUCUGUGUGUGUGUGUGUGUGUGUGUGUGUGUGUGUAUAUAUAUAUAACCAACCCAUAUUUACAAAAAGAAAAAAGAAAAUUGCUCAACGUUUUGUAUUUAAAUAUUAUUAAAAUGCUUAUCUUUAUGCAUUAUCUCACAAAAUUCACAUUGUUGUAUGUUAUCUUACACAAAAUGUGAACUUUGAACAGUUCAAUGCCAUCGCUAUCUACUCAAAACUACCAACUCAAAGGGCACUUACUCCCAGGGAAAUAUGCACCCUACAUAUGUGUGAUGCUUUAAUAUGUAUUUUGUGAAAAUUGAGUCAGAGAAGUGCAAAAUUCAAAGGAUAAUUACAUUCUGAGCAUUGCAUUACUCCAGGAAGUACAGAUCAAGUCAUCUCAUAUUGGAAUUACACACACACACACACACACACACACAAGCUUCCAGCUACCCCCACCAGCAGCAAUGAGACUAACCAUAAAAGGGGGAGAAUGGUUUCAUCCAGCAGCAUUGAGCCUCUGCAGAAACCUUUCAGAUAAUUUUUCUCCGUCCUCACAAAGAUUAUUGCUGUAAAUAAUAUUGCAAAUAAUAAAUAAAUAAAUAACAAAUAUAUUUCACCACCUGAAAAUGGGGCAGCAAUUAGCAGAGGGAAUGUUUGAUCGUGCCUACAUUUUGUGAAUGCCAGUAAGUCCUAUUUGUGAACUCCAUCUAAAAGAACAUCAGCAGGGACAGGAAGCAGGACAUUUCAACUGGUGGCUCUGGUGAAUCUCUCCCUGCUUGCCUUCUGGAGAUAAGCUAAUACAUUUGGGUUUAAGAAAGCUUUUAAGGAAGCCCUUUACAACCUAUGGAAAGGCCUCGGGAACAUAUAGAUAUUGCUGGACCAAAAUACAUGCCCUAAAAAUGUUCCUUGCUCUCUUUGCAAGAAAGUUGCUUUUUUCAUUUAGCAUGUGAGUCCCAGAGAAUCAACAUUUUCUUGUAAAACCGAACGGGGAGAGGGAGAUCUGAAGAAUUUAAAAUGUCACUUGGAGCAUCCGAAAUUGCCCUGUAGAAGAAUUUGUUCACAAGUCAACCUUUAUAAGCGCAUGAACAUGGAUUUCUCUUACUCCUGGGAAAUCAAGAGCGAUGCUAACUCUUCGCGAUGUGGUAAAGCAAGCAGUAGCCUGGAGAUAAAUACCACAAAUAGGAUGGAUGCAUUUUGCACAUAACAUAAACAAGCUGAGCUGGAAUAAGGAAAACAAAUUACAGGUCAUUCCAGGCAGCUUCAUAUUGAAGACAUCCUGUUUUGGGCAAGCAGGACUCAUUAACUCGGUGCAUUGAGCUGAGGCUCUAAAAGGGGCUGGCAGGUAGAUUAGCAUCUGAAACUGUAUGAAGUUUUGCUUGUUUGUUUGUUUAUCAUUGCAUUUCUAAGCCUUCAUUCCUCUAAGGAGUUCAAUUUAAUAUAUAUGGUUCUCCCCUGCUCUCCAUUUUACCCUCGCAACAUCCCUGUGAGGCAGGAUACGGUCCUGAGCACCCCUCAACUAAGGAAGGAUUAUAGCAGUUCCUAAGGUGCCCCAGAUACAUACACACACAAACACACACACACACACACACACACACACACAUUUCUAGAGUCUGGGCAGCUGCUCCCAGGUCUGUGACCCAUGGAGGAGUUGCGCGGUGAGUUCCCGCCUCCCCCUUGGAAAUAAAGACACAGGACACCAGCAUUUUAGGUUAAUGGGCAAGAAUUGGCCACAACUUUAUUGGUUACAGGAAUUGAGCGGUAUUGGCUUAGGCAUUGGUCCUAUCGACUAUCCGGCUUCAGCCUGAUUGCUUGAAGACCGGGAAGGGUUAACCGCCAGUAAGGGGAGUCCUGCACAUCAACUAGGAGCUCCCCCGGGGUCACCGCUUGGGGACGUGCCUUGGCCCCUCACCUCCAUAGGCUUCGGACAGGGCAACGCCUCCUGGAAUCCUUUACCGGACUACCCUUCAAUAUGGGGGAAGGUGAUGGCGCUUCCUCCCCCCCCAUCUACAUAACAAUACCCCUACCAAUGCCUGACCGCCAAUGCCAAGGAAGUUGUGACGAUUUGCUACGAGGUAGGCGAAAAACCAAAUGGCUGGAGCCAAUUUGCCAAGUGGAAAAAAAUCCUACCAGGUCCCUUGACAGCAACCAACCGAAGUCCAUAGCAAGGUCAGAGAGCCAAACCUAAAGGGUGGAAAGGGUGGGAAACCGGAGCAGCUGGAGCAAAGAAAGAGGAAAAGCCUCGGCCGCACCAGACCUAAAUAGCGCGGGCCACGCCUCCCGGGCCAGCCGAUUGGCUGGCAAGGGAGAUGAUCUGGCCGAGGAUUCCCCCAGUCUCGCGGGAGCUGCGAGUCAGCCCCUGCGCACGUGGGAGGGUGUGAAGCCCGCAACCCCACCUCCUCUCAAGCUCAGAAGUGGCUUUGUGGCAACAGUGGGACCACCACACCCCACUCCCAGGUUAUGUACCUUCAUUUGAUGGGGUGCAUGAAUGCAACCUGAGGUUUCUGCUACACUGAAACCAUAACUGCUCUUCCCUCUUCAAGCACCUCCUGGUUCUAGAAAACAGCAGGGCAAAGGAUGGAAGGGAUUCGACUGGCCUGAACAGCCUCUCUCUCCACUUCUGACAAAUCUUGCAUGCCCACCUCCAUCUCUGACUGCUCUGACCCUUCCUCUUCAUCCCACCCUGGCUCCCGCACUGUAAGCAGCACCAAACACCCCAUACGUCACAGCCCCUGCUCUCCUGGGUCAAUCCACUGCCCCCCCGCCCCCACCACACACUCGUCAGAGUCCUGCCAGUUAGACUGAGAGAUGGUGACUGGCCCAAGAACACCCACUGAGCUUCAUGGCUGAGCACAGAUUUGAACUUUGAUGCCAAGGUUAAGGGUAGCCAAUUUCUGUGUGACUGCAUAAAACUUAGGGAACAAGCUGUGCUAUCAUAAUGAUUAAGGUUUUAAAUGAUAAUUUUAGGUUAUAUGUUAAUGGCCAAGUUUUAAUUUAUAUAUUUUUUAACUGUUGCUAUAUCUGUAUUGUCCCUGUUAUAGGUAAAGGGACCCCUGACCAUUAGAUCCAGUUGCGGACGACUCUGGGGUUGCGCGCUCAUCCCGCUCUAUAGGCCAAGGGAGCCGGUGUUUGUCCGCAGACAGCUUCCAGGUCAUGUGGCCAGCAUGACUAAGCCGCUUCUGGCGAACCAGAACAGCGCACAGAAACACCGUUUACCUUCCUGCUGGAGCAGUACCUAUUUAUCUUCUUGCACUUUAACGUGCUUUCGGACUGCUAGGUUGGUAGGAGCUGGGACUGAGCAACGGGAGCUCACCCCAUCGCGGGGAUUCGAACCGCCAACCUUCUGAUAGGCAAGUCCUAGGCUCUUUGGUUUAACCCACAGCGCCACCUGUUAUACCUGUCAUACCUAAUUGCAAAUUCAAAUGUAUGACUUCCUUGAUAUUGUAUGUGGGCUGGGACUGGUCUGUGACCGAAAUAAUAAAAUUCAUUCACU
This 17408-nucleotide long non-coding RNA is filed under the name Podarcis lilfordi (Lilford's wall lizard). Lineage: Eukaryota; Metazoa; Chordata; Lepidosauria; Squamata; Lacertidae. The record is from RNAcentral.